CAGUCGCCGCGGGAAAACGAAGGGUGCAAGCGUUACUCGGAAUUACUGGGCGUAAAGGGAGCGCAGGCGGUUUAGUAAGUCUGAAGUUAAAGGCAUUGGCUCAACCAAUGUAUGCUUUGGAAACUGUUAGACUUGAGUGCAGAAGGGGAGAGUGGAAUUCCAUGUGUAGCGGUGAAAUGCGUAGAUAUAUGGAGGAACACCGGUGGCGAAAGCGGCUCUCUGGUCUGUCACUGACGCUGAGGCUCGAAAGCGUGGGUAGCGAACAGGAUUAGAUACCCCCGUAGUCCCUGUCUCUUAUACA
Molecule: ribosomal RNA, 301 nt
Filed under: uncultured bacterium
Lineage: Bacteria
Description: partial 16S ribosomal RNA
Rfam family: Bacterial small subunit ribosomal RNA
Source: RNAcentral